GGGCCGGUGGCGGAAUUGGUAUACGCGACGGACUUAAAAUCCGUUGGCUUCGGUCUUGAGGGUUCGAGUCCCUCCCGGCCCACCA
This 85-nucleotide transfer RNA is filed under the name bacterium. RNAcentral's name for it is "tRNA-Leu". It matches the Rfam family "tRNA". From Rfam's summary of the family: Transfer RNA (tRNA) molecules are approximately 80 nucleotides in length. Their secondary structure includes four short double-helical elements and three loops (D, anti-codon, and T loops). Further hydrogen bonds mediate the characteristic L-shaped molecular structure. tRNAs have two regions of fundamental functional importance: the anti-codon, which is responsible for specific mRNA codon recognition, and the 3' end, to which the tRNAs corresponding amino acid is attached (by aminoacyl-tRNA synthetases). tRNAs cope with the degeneracy of the genetic code in two manners: having more than one tRNA (with a specific anti-codon) for a particular amino acid; and 'wobble' base-pairing, i.e. permitting non-standard base-pairing at the 3rd anti-codon position. The record is from RNAcentral.